UCAGGGCAAGUGAGCACACUUGCCCCCUGACGAGGUGAACCGUACCAGGCAAGAAAAGACGGCUCUUU
This 68-nucleotide non-coding RNA is filed under the name Candidatus Berkiella cookevillensis. RNAcentral also lists the same sequence under 1 other name. The record is from RNAcentral. Lineage: Bacteria; Pseudomonadati; Pseudomonadota; Gammaproteobacteria; Candidatus Berkiellales; Candidatus Berkiellaceae.